GAACGGUGUCUUCGGACACAGUGGCGGACGGGUGAGUAACGCGUGAGAAUCUAGCUUUAGGUCUGGGACAACCACUGGAAACGGUGGCUAAUACCGGAUGUGCCCUGAGGGGUGAAAGGUUAACUGCCUGAAGAUGAGCUCGCGUCUGAUUAGCUAGUUGGUGUGGUAAGAGCGCACCAAGGCGACGAUCAGUAGCUGGUCUGAGAGGACGAUCAGCCACACUGGGACUGAGACACGGCCCAGACUCCUACGGGAGGCAGCAGUGGGGAAUUUUCCGCAAUGGGCGAAAGCCUGACGGAGCAAUACCGCGUGAGGGAGGAAGGCUCUUGGGUCGUAAACCUCUUUUCUCAGGGAAGAACACAAUGACGGUACCUGAGGAAUAAGCAUCGGCUAACUCCGUGCCAGCAGCCGCGGUAAUACGGAGGAUGCAAGCGUUAUCCGGAAUGAUUGGGCGUAAAGCGUCCGCAGGUGGCUAUGUAAGUCUGCUGUUAAAGAGUCUAGCUCAACUAGAUAAGAGCAGUGGAAACUACAAGGCUAGAGUGCGUUCGGGGCAGAGGGAAUUCCUGGUGUAGCGGUGAAAUGCGUAGAGAUCAGGAAGAACACCGGUGGCGAAGGCGCUCUGCUAGGCCGCAACUGACACUGAGGGACGAAAGCUAGGGGAGCGAAUGGGAUUANAUACCCCAGUAGUCCUAGCCGUAAACGAUGGAUACUAGGCGUGGCUUGUAUCGACCCGAGCCGUGCCGUANCUAACGCGUUAAGUAUCCCGCCUGGGGAGUNCGCCGGCAACGGUGAAACUCAAAGGAAUUGACGGGGGCCC
RNAcentral lists this ribosomal RNA (817 nucleotides) under Nostoc sp. 'Nephroma resupinatum cyanobiont' 25_Nash_III_30009. RNAcentral describes it as "bacterial SSU rRNA". It matches the Rfam family "Bacterial small subunit ribosomal RNA", at positions 64 to 922 of the family's 1533-position model. The record is from RNAcentral. Lineage: Bacteria; Bacillati; Cyanobacteriota; Cyanophyceae; Nostocales; Nostocaceae.